GGAUCCAGACUUUGAUUAUGGCUCAGGAUGAACGCUAGCGGCAGGCCUAAUACAUGCAAGUCGAACGGGAUUGGAGAGCUUGCUUUCCAUGAGAGUGGCGUACGGGUGCGUAACGCGUAUGCAACCUACCUUCAUCAGGGGGAUAGCCCGAAGAAAUUCGGAUUAACACCGCAUAACAUUAUUGGAUGGCAUCAUUUAAUAAUCAAAUAUUUAUAGGAUGAAGAUGGGCAUGCGUGUCAUUAGCUAGUUGGCGAGGUAACGGCUCACCAAGGCGACGAUGACUAGGGGAUCUGAGAGGAUGACCCCCCACACUGGUACUGAGACACGGACCAGACUCCUACGGGAGGCAGCAGUAAGGAAUAUUGGUCAAUGGAGGCAACUCUGAACCAGCCAUGCCGCGUGCAGGAAGACUGCCUUAUGGGUUGUAAACUGCUUUUAUACGGGAAUAAACCUUGAUUCGUGAAUCGAGCUGAAUGUACCGUAAGAAUAAGGAUCGGCUAACUCCGUGCCAGCAGCCGCGGUAAUACGGAGGAUCCAAGCGUUAUCCGGAUUUAUUGGGUUUAAAGGGAGCGUAGGCGGCCUAUUAAGUCAGGGGUGAAAGACGGUGGCUCAACCAUCGCAGUGCCUUUGAUACUGGUAGGCUUGAAUGUAGUUGAGGUAGGCGGAAUGUGACAAGUAGCGGUGAAAUGCAUAGAUAUGUCACAGAACACCGAUUGCGAAGGCAGCUUACUAAGCUAUGAUUGACGCUGAGGCUCGAAAGCGUGGGGAUCAAACAGGAUUAGAUACCCUGGUAGUCCACGCCCUAAACGAUGAUAACUCGAUGUUGGCGAUAUACAGUCAGCGUCCAAGCGAAAGCGUUAAGUUAUCCACCUGGGGAGUACGCCCGCAAGGGUGAAACUCAAAGGAAUUGACGGGGGCCCGCACAAGCGGAGGAGCAUGUGGUUUAAUUCGAUGAUACGCGAGGAACCUUACCCGGGCUUGAAAGUUACUGAAGAAUUUAGAGAUAGAUUCGUCCUUCGGGACAGGAAACUAGGUGCUGCAUGGCUGUCGUCAGCUCGUGCCGUGAGGUGUUGGGUUAAGUCCCGCAACGAGCGCAACCC
This 1100-nucleotide ribosomal RNA is filed under the name uncultured bacterium. Its description in RNAcentral is "bacterial SSU rRNA". It matches the Rfam family "Bacterial small subunit ribosomal RNA", at positions 1 to 1104 of the family's 1533-position model. The record is from RNAcentral.